This 164-nucleotide unclassified non-coding RNA is filed under the name uncultured Eurotiomycetes. The record is from RNAcentral. Lineage: Eukaryota; Fungi; Ascomycota; Eurotiomycetes.
CCGAGUUAGGGUCCCUCGUGGCCCGACCUCCAACCCUUGUGUUUAACUAUACCACGUUGCUUCGACGGGCCCGUCCCCUCCAGGACCGCCGGGCCUGCUCACCCAGGUCUGGCCCGUUGCCCGCCGACAGCCCAACAACCAAAACUCUUGAAUCAACCGUGUCG